ACAUCGAGGCCAGGACACGCGACCCGUGACAGUGUCGAACUAACCAAAAAACCCAAGUGCCAAGUGCCAAGUGCCGUGUGAAGAGGCCACCACAAACAACUAACUAACUAACUGCCUCCAGAAACUGUGCGAUUUAAGCUAAGAGCAAAACAGAAAGUGCAUCAGUGCCCGGGAAAAACCUUAAAGCAAACAGCCAGCGAAGUGAAUUAACCAUAAACAAAACCCCCCAAAAAAAAUAAACCGAAGCAAGGCAAAAACGAAAUUUAAACGUCUGUGCAUAUUAAUCAGAACAAGGAACGUGAAACGUGAACAGGAUCAGGUCCUAGACAACUUAUCACAGAGGAUUUACGCAGCAGACAAACGCAGGACACGAAUGCGAGAGUAGAGCGAAAGGCGGCGCUAAUCAACGGCCAAGGCAGACGACAUCCUUACCACGCCCACAACUCCCCCUUUGGAAAAAAGAGAAGCGAAAAAAAACAGGAGCCACCGAGCUGAAGAGCAGGAGCCGCCUCAUUUGGCCACUGCGGAUUAUGUUAAUUAGAUUUUAAGCACGCGACGACAACGACGCCGGGGGAGCACUUGGCAUUGUAAUGUGACAACAGUUGGCUAAAAACAACAACAGGACCAAAACCAGGGGCGUCAGGAGUAGCAGGAAUGCUCGCUUUUUAAUUGACAUUUGCUCGAGUUGAGUUGCGUUGCGUUUUGUUCAACAGCAAUUAGCAUCACGAAAAAAAACAAGAACAAAAAACGCAGAAACAAAACACAAAGGAGCGCAAUUAAAAUUGUAAAACAAUUGCAGAACGUUGAAUUGAAAACGCGGAGGGGGUGAAAGAAUAACAGACGACCCGGAAUAGAAUGAUCAAGUUGAUUUAAUUAAAAAUUCACCAUCAGCAUCACAAGCAUCCCGGGUGCAAUGGAAUUCGAGCACGCAGCUUGAGCAAUGGCCGCCGGACCGGAAACGCAGCCAUUGCCCUCGGGCAACAUCCGCCUCUGACUGCCGCCGACACUUGUCACAUGUUUGGCCAAAAAGGCGCGCACGUGACGCCCCUGAGUUCCAUAGACCGAUGAGCGAACGGAUGAACGAGGAAAUGAAUGAGCCAGCAGCCAUAUUCAAAAUUGAACGUUAAACGUUCGCACGUACCGAGCAUAAAUUCCAAGUGAAAUAAAAGAGCUGG
RNA transcript from Drosophila takahashii, 1175 nucleotides. RefSeq lists it as uncharacterized. The record is from RefSeq and is a predicted model, not a curated record. Lineage: Eukaryota; Metazoa; Arthropoda; Insecta; Diptera; Drosophilidae.